Schistosoma mansoni is the source of this 45-nucleotide non-coding RNA. The record is from Rfam. NCBI's taxonomy places the organism in Eukaryota, Metazoa, Platyhelminthes, Trematoda, Strigeidida, Schistosomatidae.
AUUCGGCUGACGAGUCCCAAAUAGGACGAAACGCGUGUCCUGGAU